This 238-nucleotide unclassified non-coding RNA is filed under the name Basidiomycota sp. Its description in RNAcentral is "partial contains small subunit ribosomal RNA, internal transcribed spacer 1, and 5.8S ribosomal RNA". The stretch from base 1 to 47 matches the Rfam family "Eukaryotic small subunit ribosomal RNA", at positions 1785 to 1831 of the family's 1831-position model. Lineage: Eukaryota; Fungi; Basidiomycota. The record is from RNAcentral.
AAAGUCGUAACAAGGUCUCCGUAGGUGAACCUGCGGAGGGAUCAUCAAAGAAUUUAACAUAAAACCACAAGUGUUUUGGGGGGAAAGAGAGAUUUCGGUCUCUUUUUUUCUCCUUGGCACUUCAAACAAACGAUCGCAACUAAAAUGUGUCUUUAUGAGGGGAAAAAGUGUUUGCCUGAUAAACAUUGGAUUGGAAAUGAGAAAUAUACAACUUUCAACAACGGAUCUCUUGGCUCUC